Molecule: long non-coding RNA, 1416 nt
Organism: Enhydra lutris kenyoni (northern sea otter)
Lineage: Eukaryota; Metazoa; Chordata; Mammalia; Carnivora; Mustelidae
Exons: 3
Source: RefSeq, a predicted model, not a curated record
UUGUUUUCAUCAAGCACUUUAUCAGACUUUUAAGAAGGUGUCGAAGGCAUUGAAAGAAUUGACUUUUCAAAAUCAUCUCUUCUUUUUCUCAAGAAGAAAACAGUGGAAAAACAAAUUCUCCUCAUUCAGUGAAUCCCCAGUUUGGGGUCUGGGGAGCGUAGAGACAUUGUGAAAUCAAAUCUUGUGUUACAUUUUUCUCCUGGCUCACUCUUUUUGAGAAGGUUUAUGGGCUAUAUGGCUGGUGAGACACGAUCCCCUCCUAAGAAAAUGUAGGUGCUCAGACAGGUAACCUCUGCUGCUACUGUUUUUAUUUGUUUGUUUGUUUGUUUAAUUUCAUUUAAAAUUUGUUUUUGUUGUACUAGGAUAUUUUUAAAUGUAAUAUAUUGCAGGAUUUAUAACCAGGUUCACUGCUUUCUUUCUUUCUUUUUUUUUUUUUUUUCUUUAAAAAAAAAAAAAAAACAACAAAGUUUCAUUUAAGAUACAUUUAGGCGCCUUUGAAGCUUGGAUUUUGGAAUGUUUCAGUAGUGGCCAGAAAUCUGCUGUUGAAUCUUCUAGUCUUCCAGGUUUAAUUUGAAAUGUUUUUAGUUUUGUUUUGGAUUUUUGUGUGGUAUUUUAUUUCCUUUAUAUCAGUGCCCUUUUGCCAUGCUGUUUUGGGGUGGCUGCCUAACUCUAGUGAAAAUUCUUUCUAUAUUAACGGAAGUUUGGUGUUUUAAAUUCCUUAAUGUUUUGCAUUUUUUAAAAUUGUUUUUAAAGAAAUAUUCUAACUGCUUGCACUGUUACUGUUCUUUGCCAGCCUUUUCAGGAGCCAAAAAAACAAAAACAAACAAACAAAAAAAUACCCAGAGAAAAAACUUUCCUUCUUCCCCCUUCCUGAUGAUGAGUGAGAAGUAUUGAGAACUUUCGGGGUCAGUGCCCUUCUAAACUCCCCUUCCCCCAAUAAUGCAGCUGUAUAAUGAAUGGUAAAUGCAGCGGUUUGGAUUCAGGCACAGCCCCAGCCUGCUUGCAGCAGAGAGAUAAACUGGUAGGUGGCAGCAGAAGAAGGAAUUCUUCAGAUUGACGGCUACUGAAAGAAUCUACAUAGAAGAGAUAGAGCAUAACAUACCAAGUGAAGGAAAGGGGGCAAAAAAUGGAAACAGGACUAAAAUGUUUGGAUUUUGACUCUAAAUGGUUCUUUUGAAGUAACCAGUGAUGCUUUUUGCUUAUUACUUCAUUCACAGAAUGGACGAAGAUAGAUUUGACUGUAUGUUUUUUGAAAUGGAGUAUAGAAAUACCCAGAACAAGGAAGCAGUAGCUCUAACCUGUUUGAUUCGAUGUGUUUUCUAAAAUAAAAACACCAGAACUGGGAAUGAAAUAGUAUGGAGUGUGAUUUGUUCUUUUGGCAGUUAUUCCUGCCCACUCCAUCUUAUAUGAAUUCAC